GGGUCAGUAGGUUGGUCGUGCCACCGGUACGUACUGGUCUCAAUGAUUCCUCCUUCCUGAAUAACCGUAUUGCCAUUAAUUUGGUGUUGCGGGGAGACAGGACUGUUACUUUGAAAAAAUUAGAGUGUUUAAAGCAAGCUAACGCUUGAAUACAUUAGCAUGGAAUAAUGAAAUAGGACGAUCGAUCCUAUUUUGUUGGUUUCUAGGAUUGACGUA
This 216-nucleotide ribosomal RNA is filed under the name Glomeromycotina sp. Its description in RNAcentral is "partial small subunit ribosomal RNA". The stretch from base 40 to 216 matches the Rfam family "Eukaryotic small subunit ribosomal RNA", at positions 686 to 864 of the family's 1831-position model. Lineage: Eukaryota; Fungi; Glomeromycota. The record is from RNAcentral.